RNAcentral lists this transfer RNA (70 nucleotides) under Aenigmachanna gollum. RNAcentral's name for it is "tRNA-Ile". It matches the Rfam family "tRNA". Rfam says of the family: Transfer RNA (tRNA) molecules are approximately 80 nucleotides in length. Their secondary structure includes four short double-helical elements and three loops (D, anti-codon, and T loops). Lineage: Eukaryota; Metazoa; Chordata; Actinopteri; Anabantiformes; Aenigmachannidae. The record is from RNAcentral.
GGAGCCAUGCCUGAAAUAAAGGACCACUUUGAUGUAGUGAACCAUGGGGGUUAAAGUCCCCCUGCCUCCU